Molecule: ribosomal RNA, 481 nt
Filed under: uncultured bacterium
Lineage: Bacteria
Description: partial 16S ribosomal RNA
Rfam family: Bacterial small subunit ribosomal RNA
Source: RNAcentral
GAUGAACGCUGGCGGCGUGCCUAACACAUGCAAGUCGAACGGAGAUUACGGACGGAAGUUUUCGGAUGGAAGCCUGUAAUUCUUAGUGGCGGACGGGUGAGUAACGCGUGGGCAACCUGCCCUAUACAGGGGGAUAGCAGCUGGAAACGGCUGGUAAGACCGCAUAAGUCGGUUAAAUCGCAUGAUUUGAUCGGGAAAUGAGCAAUCAGGUAUAGGAUGGGCCCGCGUCCGAUUAGCCAGUUGGCAGGGUAAAAGCCUACCAAAGCGACGAUCGGUAGCCGGACUGAGAGGUCGGACGGCCACAUUGGGACUGAGACACGGCCCAAACUCCUACGGGAGGCAGCAGUGGGGGAUAUUGCACAAUGGAGGAAACUCUGGUGCAGCGACGCCGCGUGAGUGAAGAAGUAUUUCGGUAUGUAAAGCUCUAUCAACAGGGAAGAUGAUGACGGUACCUGACUAAGAAGCCCCGGCUAACUACGUG